UUUUUGGAGAGUUUGAUCCUGGCUCAGGACGAACGCUGGCGGCGUGCCUAAUACAUGCAAGUCGAGCGAAUCAAUAGGAGCUUGCUCCUGUUGGUUAGCGGCGGACGGGUGAGUAACACGUGGGCAACCUGCCUGUAAGACUGGGAUAACUU
Molecule: ribosomal RNA, 152 nt
Filed under: Bacillus salipaludis
Lineage: Bacteria; Bacillati; Bacillota; Bacilli; Caryophanales; Bacillaceae
Description: Bacillus sp. WN066 partial 16S ribosomal RNA
Rfam family: Bacterial small subunit ribosomal RNA
Source: RNAcentral